AACACACCUGUGUCUAAUUCCCUGAGAUCUAUGUAAGCAGUGUGUGAGAAGCUGCUCGCCUUGCGACAUCCUGCUGCUGCCCUGUGUGAAUCCUUCUCACCUCCAGAUGACUUGCUUUAACAUCACUAGAUCUUUGAUGGUCUUGAAAUAAAACCUUUCAUGUUAUAAUGAAGCGGCGUGUAUGUCUGGCUCUACUUCAGGAUGUCCGUGGUGGUGUGGAGCAGAUGUUUAUAUUGUUUCCCCCUCCAUCUGCAGUGAGGCUCAGCCUGUAAUUAAUCCCAGACCAACAUCAGGCCCAGGGGCUGCCACCAGGUCAGAGGUCAGAGGUCACAGUACAGGGUGGCACCCUGAGGGUGGUGGAGGUGAGAGCUGAAUGAAACACAUGCACUCGGGUUUCUGAGUCAGCACCAAGUCUCUUCUCCUCAGAGCGCCGAUCUGCUCGGGUCUGUUCCUCAGACAGCGUAGAGUCCUGAGACCCGUCUUACUCCGACACACACUCCGACACACACUCCGACACACACUCCGACACACACUCCGACACACACUCCGACACACACUCCGACACACACUCCGACAAAAUCCGAUAUACACUCCGACAAACACUCCGACAAACACUCCGACAAACACUCCGACAAACACUCCGACAAACACUCCGACAUACACUCCGACACACUCGGAUACACUCUGACACAUUCGGAUACACUCUGACACACUCGGAUACACUCUGACACACUCGGAUACACACUGACACACUCAGACUCUGAAACUUGGUCACAUUCUAGCACACUCCGACACACCCCUACACUCUCCAACACACACUCUUCCCUCCACUGAUUUCUCCGACACACACUCUUCCCUCCACUGAUUUCUCCGACACACACUCUUCCCUCCACUGAUUUCGCUGUAUCUCUGACCUUCGUCUCACCCGGUUUAAUAAUCGCACUUUGAUGCGCUCAGUGCGAGAAGCCUCACAGGCUCUGAAUAGACGGGAAACAGGAAGACAUCUGGGCCCCAUGUGGUGGACGGUGCCACGGCCAUGAUGAUGAUGAUGAUGAUGAUGAUGAAGGGUUAUCACGGGGAAAUAAGAUGAUGAAAGAUGAAGAUGUACUCGUGAUAAUUUCCACAGUUUAAUGUUGAAUAAAAUCAGCCGCUGAGGUGCUCAAAA
Ictalurus punctatus (channel catfish) is the source of this 1165-nucleotide long non-coding RNA. RefSeq lists it as uncharacterized. The transcript is spliced from 3 exons. The record is from RefSeq and is a predicted model, not a curated record. NCBI's taxonomy places the organism in Eukaryota, Metazoa, Chordata, Actinopteri, Siluriformes, Ictaluridae.